Molecule: long non-coding RNA, 1877 nt
Organism: Equus caballus (horse)
Lineage: Eukaryota; Metazoa; Chordata; Mammalia; Perissodactyla; Equidae
Source: Ensembl
CCACGCUGGGUGCCCCGGACCGGCCGGGGGUGAGCGGGCGCCGGGGCUCCGGGUCGUGGGCCCGCGCCUCCCUCCCGGCCACGGGCGGACCCUGUUCGUCUUGAGUGGCGGCCGAGCGCACGGCUCUGCGGGCCGCGUCUCCCCGGCCUGUCCUCCGCGGCAGGCGGCCCCGAGGGCGGAGGCGGUCCACCUCUUCUGGGCCUCAGUGCCGCAGCCGGAAGGCGGGCAGUGAUCGUGAUCGUGCCUCCCGGGGCGGGCUGCACGUGAGGUCACAUGAGUUAGCAACAGGUAAAGAACUCAUUCAACCGUGUAAUAAAACUGCAAACAACAGAAGCUUCCCAGAAGGAGAUACACAGAUGGCAAAUAAGUACAAGAAGGAUGCUCGACCAUCAUCUUCAUGAGGGAAACACAAAGCCACAGUGAGACACGGCCACACCAUUGUCCGUCCACUCGAGUGGCCAAAGAAGGCUGACAUCGGCAAGCACCAAGGUUGCAGAGCUGCUGAAAUUCUCAUCCGUUGCAGACAAGAGGGCAAAAUGGUACAACCAAUUUGGAAGCAUUUUGGUGGUUUCUUCUAAAGUUGCCAUACACUUACCCUUCAACCCAGUACUCCCACUCCUAGGUACUUACCCAACAGGGACGAAAACGUGUCCGCACCAGACUUGUACUAAGUUCUCACAUUUUUAAUUGGAUCUCCAGUUAUCACGAUACGAAGAUUAGAAUCUGUGAUAUUAUGAGUUAUGAUAAGAAAUUCAGUCACCUGUGCUCAACAAUGGGGAUAUAUUCUCAGAAAGCUGCGUCAUCAGGCGAUUUCCUUGUUGUGUGAACUUCGUAGAGUGUACUUACGAACCUAGCUGGUAGCCGGCUGCACACCGAGGCUCUGUGGUUAGCCUGGUGCUCCUCGGCUGCAAAGCUGUGCAGCAUGUCACUGUCCUGAGUACUGGAGGCAACUGUGACACAACAGUAUUUGUAUAUUUAGACAUAUCAAAACAGAAAUAGCACAGUAAAAAUAUGGUAUAAAAGAUAAAAAAUGGCACAUCUGUAUGGGGCGCUUACCGUAAAUGGAGCUUGCAGGUCUGGAAGCUGCUCUGGGUGAGUGAGUGGGUGAUGAGUGAGCAAAGGCCUCGGAUGUUCCUGGACACUGCCGCAGACGUUAUAAACUGUACACUUAGGCUACACUAAAUUUAUAAAAAAAGAUUUUUCUUUCUUUAAUAAUAAACUAACCUUAGCUUACUGUACCUUUUUUAUUUUAUAUACUUUAAUUUUUUUAACUUUUUGACUCUUUUGUGAUAAGACAGCUUAAAAUGCAAACACAUUGUACAGCUGUACAAAACUUUUCUUUGUAUCCUUAUUCUAUAAGCUUUUUAAAUUUUUUUAUUUUAUUCUUUUACUUCUUAAACUUUUUUUUUAAAAAGUAAGACUAAUGCACACAUUAGCGUAGACCUGCACAGGGUCAGGAUCCUCAGUAUCACUGUCUUCCAUCUCCACAUCUUGUCCCACUUGCCAAGGUCUUCAGGGACAAUACCACACGUGGACUGUCGUCUCCUAUGGUCACAGUGCCUCCUCCUGGAACACCUCCUAGAGGGCCUGCCUGAGGCGCUUCUUGAGGAGUGUCACUCUUUCAGAAAUAUGACUAUGGCGGUUUGCUUGGUUUGUUUCUUUUUUUUAUCAUAGAUUUGCUUGUAAGCAGAUAACACACCAUACACAUUCCUCUCUAUUAAUGAAAACCUUUCAGUGUUGGGGUGCAUGUUUUCAAACCUUUUAAGAGGCAUGUCGAGCAAAAGCGUCUGCUGAACCCCUCACUGAAUUUUCUUGGGGGUUCCUUUUCUUGUCUUGUGGUUUCCUUUUCUCUUGCCUCUUUUUUAGCUAUGCAUUCC